RNAcentral lists this ribosomal RNA (398 nucleotides) under uncultured bacterium. RNAcentral describes it as "bacterial SSU rRNA". It matches the Rfam family "Bacterial small subunit ribosomal RNA", at positions 361 to 776 of the family's 1533-position model. The record is from RNAcentral.
AUAUUGGACAAUGGGCGAAAGCCUGAUCCAGCAAUGCCGCGUGGGUGAAGAAGGUCUUCGGAUUGUAAAGCCCUUUCGGCGGGGACGAUGAUGACGGUACCCGCAGAAGAAGCCCCGGCUAACUUCGUGCCAGCAGCCGCGGUAAUACGAAGGGGGCUAGCGUUGCCCGGAAUGACUGGGCGUAAAGGGCGCGUAGGCGGCGCACUUAGUCAGGCGUGAAAGUCCUGGGCUCAACCUGGGGACGGCGCUUGAUACGGGUGUGCUUGAGUAUGAAAGAGGGUCGUGGAAUUCCCAGUGUAGAGGUGAAAUUCGUAGAUAUUGGGAAGAACACCGGUAGCGAAGGCGGCGACCUGGUUCAUGACUGACGCUGAGGCGCGAAAGCGUGGGGAGCAAACAGG